Molecule: long non-coding RNA, 597 nt
Organism: Ceratitis capitata (Mediterranean fruit fly)
Lineage: Eukaryota; Metazoa; Arthropoda; Insecta; Diptera; Tephritidae
Exons: 2
Source: RefSeq, a predicted model, not a curated record
UUUUGAAAAAAUAUAUAUAAUUUGAUUUCUCCUACUAAUUUGCUUAUUCGAACUCACUUCGUUUGUUGGUGAAUGUACCUAACCUCAUUUCAAUUGGAACUUAUUUGUGUUACUUCUUUGGCUGUUUUUCUAAAUUAGUUGAAUCAUUCAAAUUCGGUGUUUGCUUUCUUUAUUUCUGCUAUUCAAAUGAUUGAAAUUUGUAACGAUGCCACGAAGAGAUCGUACCACGGACCAAUGUAAUUAUACAGCACAUCGUACGGAAAAGAAAAAUGCUUACUGUAAGGGAAUCUGCUCGAAUCGGAAUGAUUGAAUAUCGUGCGCGACAAUCACCUACGUGCGCGAGGCCUACGCAGCUUACAAUGAGCAAUAACGAUUGAAAAGAAGACAAGUUCAUGCUUAGGAAAUUCAUAAAGCAAAAGAACAAAGUUUGGCUGCUCAUUGACAACGCCAGCAACAACAACGUUUACCUCCUUCGAAUAUCGAAUGAAUUGCUAACUUAUCAUCACUAUCGGAAUAAAUUAAAAUUUUCUGUAAAAAAUCUUCAUCCAUUGAAUACCAAUAAUUACAAGAUAUUUUAGUCAAAUCGGUUCAACUAUA